UAUGUGAUCGUCUCUCGCAUAUCAAUAAGCGGAGGAAAAGAAACUAACAAGGAUUCCCCUAGUAACGGCGAGUGAAGCGGGAAGAGCUCAAAUUUGAAAUCUUAAAGGGUUUCCCUUUACGAAUUGUAGUUUAAAGAAGUGUUUUCUGUUGAGGUUUUGGUAAAAGUUCUUUGGAAUAGGACAUCAUAGAGGGUGAGAAUCCCGUAUUUGACCUUUACUUUCAACUUUGUGAUACACUUUCAAAGAGUCGGAUUGUUUGGGAAUGCAGUCCAAAAUGGGUGGUAAAUUUCAUCUAAAGCUAAAUAUUGGCGAGAGACCGAUAGCGAACAAGUACCGUGAGGGAAAGAUGAAAAGAACUUUGAAAAGAGAGUUAAACAGUACGUGAAAUUGUCGAAAGGGAAGCGUUUGACACCAGUGUUGUUUUUCUGAAAAUCAAUUAAAGAACUGUUUAUGCUAAGCUGUUUAGACUUUAUCAGCUAACUGUUUAGUUUUGAGCUUUUCUUUAAUGCACUUUUCAGUUAACAAGUCAACAUCAAUUUCUUUUGCUGUAAAAAAGCUUGAGGAAGGUGGCUUGAGAUUCGUCUUAAGUGUUUAUAGCCUCUUGCCUAUGCAGUCGGAGAGAUUGAGGUCUGCAGCGUAGAUCCUUCGGGGCUAAAUGCAUUUGUGCUAAGUUAUAACAUUUUAUAGACAACUUGUUGACUAUGAUUUGUCUUGUAGCUUACUCGCUUAUGUUAUUUUACCUACGCUUAGGAUGUUGAGUAGCGACAUACGCAC
This 774-nucleotide ribosomal RNA is filed under the name uncultured Neocallimastigales. RNAcentral's name for it is "partial large subunit ribosomal RNA". It matches the Rfam family "Eukaryotic large subunit ribosomal RNA", at positions 24 to 649 of the family's 3401-position model. Lineage: Eukaryota; Fungi; Neocallimastigomycota; Neocallimastigomycetes; Neocallimastigales. The record is from RNAcentral.